GUGCCAGCCGCCGCGGUAAUACAGGGGGUGCAAACGUUGCUCGGAAUUAUUGGGCGUAAAGCGCGCGUAGGCGGCUUUGCAAGUCGGAUGUGAAAGCCCUCGGCUUAACUGAGGAAGUGCAUCCGAAACUGCAUGGCUUGAGUACCAAAGAGGAUCGCGGAAUUCCCGGUGUAGAGGUGAAAUUCGUAGAUAUCGGGAGGAACACCAGCGGCGAAGGCGGCGAUCUGGGUGGAAACUGACGCUGAGGCGCGAAAGUGUGGGGAGCAAACAGGAUUAGAAACCCGGGUAGUCC
RNAcentral lists this ribosomal RNA (292 nucleotides) under uncultured bacterium. RNAcentral describes it as "partial 16S ribosomal RNA". It matches the Rfam family "Bacterial small subunit ribosomal RNA", at positions 505 to 796 of the family's 1533-position model. The record is from RNAcentral.